RNA transcript from Vigna radiata var. radiata (mung bean), 3130 nucleotides. It is a transcript of the gene named transcription factor GTE7, with no coding region annotated. Lineage: Eukaryota; Viridiplantae; Streptophyta; Magnoliopsida; Fabales; Fabaceae. The transcript has 4 exons. The record is from RefSeq and is a predicted model, not a curated record.
AUUAGGGUAACCCGACUUCCUAACCCUAAAACUUUUUCCGGUUUUCUCUUCCAAAUCUCUGCUUCCGCCAGCGGCUCAAUAGCGUCUUCCACUUUGCUUAGGUUUUUUGUCUGCCUGAUUCUUAGUACAAUUGACUCAUGCUCUGUUUCACCAACAUUGGAAAGUCUGUGCCGGAGAGACGACGGAAUCUCACCGGACGGCUGUGAUUUUGCAAUUCUAUGGCUUCUGCUGUCUUAGCUAACCGGAACGAACCUAAUUGGCCGCAGCAUAGAGUUGGUGGAGCUGGAUUCAUGGGAAAAGCACCCUUUGCUAACCCUAACCCUAAUUCUAAUCCUAAAUUAGCAAAUAGCAAAAGGACCCAGGCGGCUUCGGACGAUGCUUCCUCUAUCAACAGGCGACCCAAUGAAGUAGUGACUCACUCCCAAUACGUGUCCUUCAACAUCGGAUCCUUAUCGAAGAAGGAACUCUACGACAUCAAGAACAGGCUUGUCGCAGAGCUCGAACAGGUUCAGAAAUUCAGAACUCGAAUCGAGUCAGGGGAGUUACAACCUGGGCAGAGCUUCAAUGGCCACCCGAAGAAAUCCUCGAGUAAAAAGUUGUCCGGCAACAAGCGACCCUUGCCAUUGAAUUCCGCAAAGGAUUUUAAAGGUUCGCAUUCGGAAGUUGGAAACUUGAUGAAGGGCUGCUCGCAGGUUUUGCAGAAGCUGAUGAAGCACAAACAUGGGUGGAUCUUCAAUGUACCAGUUGAUGCUGUCGGAAUGGGUCUCCAUGAUUACUAUGAUAUAAUUAAACAGCCUAUGGAUCUUGGGACGGUGAAGUCCAAUCUCUCGAAAAACAAGUACUCGACGCCUUCGGAUUUUGCCUCUGAUGUGAGGUUAACCUUCAACAAUGCACUGACAUAUAACCCUAAGGGUCACGAUGUGUACACCAUGGCGGAGCAGCUUUUGACGAGGUUUGAGGAGCUGUAUCGCCCGAUUCACGAGAAAUUCGAAGAUUUGGUUGGACAUGAUCGCGAUUUUAAGGAGGAAUUGCAGGCUAGUUCGUGGAGCCACGUUGAGCCAGAGAGGGUGAAGAAGAAGGAAAAUCUGAUCCCUCCCGCGAAAUUGCAACAAGAGCCUCCGCAGCCACCUGCAAGUUCUUCUAACCCUCCUUUGCUGCAGUCCCCCGUGCGUACACCUUCUCCCAUGCGAGUUCCUCCCGUUAAGCCUUUGAAGCAGCCUAAGCCAAAGGCGAAGGAUCCCAACAAGAGGGAGAUGAGUCUUGAAGAGAAACACAAGCUGGGGUUAGGACUGCAGAGUUUGCCAGCAGAGAAAAUGGAACAGGUGGUGCAGAUCAUAAGGAGGAGGAACGGACAUUUGAAGCAGGAUGGGGAUGAGAUCGAGCUAGAUAUUGAGGCUGUUGACACAGAGACUCUUUGGGAACUUGAUAGGCUAGUGACUAAUUAUAAGAAGAUGGUUAGCAAGAUUAAGAGGCAGGCAUUGAUGGGCAACAUCAACAACAGUGUGGCGCCAAACAAAGCCAAUAUGGAAUUCCCUGGUGGUGAGAAGGCUGAUGGGAUGCCAACUGAGUUUAAGAAGCCAAAGAAAGUAGAAGCAGGAGAUGAGGACGUUGAUAUUGGUGAUGAUAUGCCAAUGGGUGUGUUUCCCCCUGUGGAGAUUGAGAAAGAUAAAGAUGUUGCUGGUGGCCAUGCAACUAGUAGUUCUAGUAGCUCUAGCGGCUCAAGCAGUGAUUCCUCGUCGUCAAGUGAUUCGGAUUCCGGUAGUUCCUCUGGAAGUGAUUCUGAAGCAGACAAUGGGCAUUCGUAGCUGCGAGGGAUAUUUGUUACUGGUGGUCAAACUUGAUCAUACUGGUGGGUGGAUGAAGAAAUCAUUGCUUCAUUGGCUUCCUUUGAGGGUGUGGGUUGAAUAGAUGGACGAGGGAUUGUGAUAGUUGGUUCUGUUGUGGGUUGGGUGUGGGAGUGGCGGUAUGGAUUGUGGAGCUGGACACCUGCUUGAGGAUUUGGGGUGUGUUAUAAAUAAAUCUGUACAAAUAAAUUCGGAAACUAAAGUAAUCACCAAAACGAUUUGUAGGCCAACAUGUAGACUGAAAUGUGAAAAUCCUAGGAUAGACUCGUUGAAGAUUUAGAAAUAGAAUGCAGAGAGAAUUAAUAUUGAGUUUUACCUUGUACACAUUAACAACAGUAUAUAGAUGGAACUUCUUAAAUCCAUUUUGUGGAUCUGUGCAUUGGAUUUUUUUGGAUCGUUAAUCAGUUAAAUAGACUGGGGUAAUGAGGGGAGGAAAAAUGGCCGCUGAGAAUCCUUUGGAGAUGAAAACUAUGCGAAAAUGCUACUAAGAUGAAUUAUUCGAUUUAAGGUCGUCCUAUCAGGCAGUGGUUGUACCUCUGGUUUCAGAUUCUGUAUAAAGAUUUGAAGAUGCCACGUCUGGUCCUCGAAGGAUAAAAAAAUGCUGCAUGUUUAAAGGGAUGCAAUAAGAAGGCGCUUAUACGUAGAAGAUGUUUGAAGUGCUUAAUAUGCGUUGCCUCGGACUGUUAUCAGUUUGCUGGUUGUGGAGUUUUGGUACUCUUAUCUACUCAACGAUGAUCAAACUUCAGAAUGGGGUAGGAUUUUCUAUUGGAUGUAAUAUAAUACCCUAUUACCUACCAGAUGACCUAUUUUCUUCGUUGUGGCCAGUUUUUUCGUUGGAUAAUUUGUUAAACUGUGUAUGAUUUUUUGCCUUUAUCGACUUCCCUUAUUGCACAUAAUCUGGAGAGUACUUUGGAAUGGAUCGGUCUAUAAAGGCUCACUCAGGUGGUGCUUUCAUUAUGAUAUUGGCAUUUGGUCGACAACAGUUAAAGCUGUCCGUUGGUAUUUGUUCGACAGUUAAGGCUGAGCUGCGGUGUCUGGCACGAUCCCUAAAUGUCACCAUCGAUUUUGUUGAAAUGGAUUCUCAAGUAGCUUUGAAAUUGGUCUUGUGGGUAUACGAAUUUUUUUCUCCCUUUUGCUUUUCUUCUCGUCAGGAGCAUCCGGGGGCUGGUUGGAACAUUAUGGCCAUUUUUUAGACUUUGAUGUUCUGUUGGACAUUGUGUCUUAUUUCAAUUAAGAGGCGAAAGAAAGCCUGUUUUUCAUGAAUAAUACUCUUAACAUAUUACUAA